This 1860-nucleotide long non-coding RNA is filed under the name Eucalyptus grandis. RNAcentral's name for it is "long non-coding RNA (EGRA_LNC000516)". The record is from RNAcentral. Lineage: Eukaryota; Viridiplantae; Streptophyta; Magnoliopsida; Myrtales; Myrtaceae.
AAAGGCUAUUUAUUUGGGUAGGUGUACUGAUAUGCUCCAAACUGUUUUUUUUUUUUUUUUAGACAUGCUCUUAAAGAUUAAUCUGUAUCAUGAUGUAAAUUAUCGAGGUUUAUUUUCAAAGUCACACGAAGAAGCUUUCUUACUUCCAACAGCUGCAGCUAUCGUAAGGUUUCUUACUUACAACAGCAAUAGCUGUCAUAAAGAUGCAAAGAAUAGGAUUUAAAACGGGUGUUUUCGAGUUGGCGAUUAUGACAACUAAAUUUGAGUGAACCCUACAGAUCAUAAUCCAUUUAAAUCCGACUUAUUUGUCAAAGUUCAUAGUUCAUCAUUUCAGUAGCUCUGUUUUGUUUGACAAGGAAGUAAGCAAUGAAAUGGUUAUAAUGCUAAUGUGGUACACAAUGUCAACCAUAGUUUCAUACAAGUGACUAUUCCUUAAAACAAAUAAUACUUGGAUGGACUUGAUCACAGUGCUGGAAUUAUGAUGCGUGGAUGUGCCUGUCUCUAUUGAUGAUAUAUCUAGAACUUUGUGUGAUGACCAAAAAUUGCUUUUCUUUCCACUUGUGGCAUUGGGAAGCAUCAAAUGUGGCCGGUCUAUUUUGAUGAUAUAUCUAGAACUUUGUGUGAUGCCCAAAAAUUGCUUAUCAUUGCACUUGGAUGACACUCCAAAGAAAUUGUAAAUGGAAAUGUACUAUGCUUUGUGUGAGAAUCAUGAACAAUCAUUGCUCUUAUAUUGAUAUUUUUCCGCAAUUUCAGUGUUUGUUGUAUUCUCUUGCAAAUGUUUUUUUCUUGUGCCCCAGAGAGUGAGCUAAAUUCGCUCUAUUAUGCCUGUCUUGCAGAAUAUCCUACUGUCAUCUGUAGUUGGCAAAAUCUCUCGGGAGGAUCAAAUGCACGCAAUGUUGAGGUAAGCAACAUGUGAUUAUGUUUUUUUUUUUUUUUCAUCUUUUGCAACUUGACAAAAGAAAAACAAUAGACUAUUUAUUUUGGUAGGUGUACCGACAUGCUCUAAAAAAUUUUAUGUUAACAUGUUCUAACAGAUUAAUUUAUAUUAUAAUGUCAAUUAUCGAGAUCUUUAUUAAAGUCAACCUAAGAAGCUUUCUUACUUCGAGGAUCAGCACUGUGAAGAUACCAAAAUAGGAUUUAAAACAGGUGUUUUCGAGUUGGCGAAUAUGACAACUAAAUUUGAAUGAACCCUGCAGAUUAUAAUCUGAUUAAAUCUGACUUCGUUGUCAAAGUUCAAAGUCCAUCUCUCUUCUAUUUAAAUUCCCACACCAUCUCAAAGCACAUUUUCUUUUUCUUUGUUGUCAAGGAAAGGCGGAGAGAAGCAAUCGGGGAGAACUAUGCUUUGUCGCCUCGUUAAGUCAUCAUGAAUGCCUCACAUUUGCCACAAUGUAUUUUGAUUUAAGAUUGUGAGAAGGCCGUCAUUCAAUACCACUCGCAACCAUUUAUCUUGGGUAGGCAAGUCUUGUCACUAUAACCCCACCAAGCUGCCGAAGCUCCCGUCACGGACAAGACAAGAUUCAAGCAGUAUCAUCACUACUGGUUUAUCCUCGAGACCUCACGUUAGUAGAAUAUCAGCUAGUAUUAGUAGGCCACAAUCAUUGGCGAUUAGCGGUCCCCCAUAGUUCUGCAUUAAGAGAAUCAGAAGGGCCAUUCAGGAAUGACAGUCAUCAAAAGAAUCGCAUUUUUUAGACUUGGAAUGGGAAAUACCCUGGUAUGUCUUCUUGUUGAAUUUCGGUUGCAGUCGAGUAUGUGUAUAAUUUGUAUAUUUGAUUACUCCUGUAGUUGUCUAUUUCGCACGACAAAGUAAUAUGUACGGGGGCUAUCUGAUUUUCUCAUCCUAUUUUCAUUUUUUUUCUUUUU